RNAcentral lists this ribosomal RNA (465 nucleotides) under Vreelandella stevensii. Its description in RNAcentral is "partial 16S ribosomal RNA". It matches the Rfam family "Bacterial small subunit ribosomal RNA", at positions 338 to 795 of the family's 1533-position model. Lineage: Bacteria; Pseudomonadati; Pseudomonadota; Gammaproteobacteria; Oceanospirillales; Halomonadaceae. The record is from RNAcentral.
CCUACGGGGGGCUGCAGUGGGGAAUAUUGGACAAUGGGGGCAACCCUGAUCCAGCCAUGCCGCGUGUGUGAAGAAGGCCCUCGGGUUGUAAAGCACUUUCAGUGAGGAAGAACGCCUGGUGGUUAAUACCCAUCAGGAAAGACAUCACUCACAGAAGAAGCACCGGCUAACUCCGUGCCAGCAGCCGCGGUAAUACGGAGGGUGCGAGCGUUAAUCGGAAUUACUGGGCGUAAAGCGCGCGUAGGUGGCUUGAUAAGCCGGUUGUGAAAGCCCCGGGCUCAACCUGGGAACGGCAUCCGGAACUGUCAAGCUAGAGUGCAGGAGAGGAAGGUAGAAUUCCCGGUGUAGCGGUGAAAUGCGUAGAGAUCGGGAGGAAUACCAGUGGCGAAGGCGGCCUUCUGGACUGAAACUGACACUGAGGUGCGAAAGCGUGGGUAGCAAACAGGAUUAGAUACCCUAGUAGUC